RNAcentral lists this ribosomal RNA (436 nucleotides) under uncultured bacterium. RNAcentral describes it as "bacterial SSU rRNA". It matches the Rfam family "Bacterial small subunit ribosomal RNA", at positions 28 to 479 of the family's 1533-position model. The record is from RNAcentral.
GACGAACGCUGGCGGCGUGCUUAACACAUGCAAGUCGAACGGUAAGGCCCUUCGGGGUACACGAGUGGCGAACGGGUGAGUAACACGUGGGUGAUCUGCCCUGCACUUCGGGAUAAGCUUGGGAAACUGGGUCUAAUACCGGAUAGGACCACGGUCUGCAUGGAUUGUGGUGGAAAGCUUUUGCGGUGUGGGAUGGGCCCGCGGCCUAUCAGCUUGUUGGUGGGGUGAUGGCCUACCAAGGCGACGACGGGUAGCCGGCCUGAGAGGGUGUCCGGCCACACUGGGACUGAGAUACGGCCCAGACUCCUACGGGAGGCAGCAGUGGGGAAUAUUGCACAAUGGGCGCAAGCCUGAUGCAGCGACGCCGCGUGGGGGGAUGACGGCCUUCGGUUGGUAAACCUCUUUCUAGUAGGGACGAAGCGUAAGUGACGGUACC